Molecule: ribosomal RNA, 484 nt
Filed under: uncultured bacterium
Lineage: Bacteria
Description: partial 16S ribosomal RNA
Rfam family: Bacterial small subunit ribosomal RNA
Source: RNAcentral
AUUGAACGCUGGCGGCAGGCCUAACACAUGCAAGUCGAGCGGAUGAAGGGAGCUUGCUCCUGGAUUCAGCGGCGGACGGGUGAGUAAUGCCUAGGAAUCUGCCUGGUAGUGGGGGAUAACGUCCGGAAACGGGCGCUAAUACCGCAUACGUCCUGAGGGAGAAAGUGGGGGAUCUUCGGACCUCACGCUAUCAGAUGAGCCUAGGUCGGAUUAGCUAGUUGGUGGGGUAAAGGCCUACCAAGGCGACGAUCCGUAACUGGUCUGAGAGGAUGAUCAGUCACCCUGGAACUGAGACACGGUCCAGACUCCUACGGGAGGCAGCAGUGGGGAAUAUUGGACAAUGGGCGAAAGCCUGAUCCAGCCAUGACGCGUGUGUGAAGAAGGUCCUCGGAUUGUAAAGCACUUUAAGUUGGGAGGAAGGGCAGUAAGUUAAUACCUUGCUGUUUUGACGUUACCAACAGAAUAAGCACCGGCUAACUUCGUG